ACGGAGUGUGCAAGCGUUACUCGGAAUCACUGGGCAUAAAGAGCACGUAGGCGGGCCGCUUAGUCGGUGGUGAAAGCCCUCAGCUCAACUGAGGAAUUGCUCCCGAAACUGGCGGCCUUGAGGACAAGAGGGGAGAGUGGAACUUCUGGUGGAGCGGUGAAAUGCGUAGAUAUCAGAAGGAACACCGGUGGCGAAAGCGACUCUCUGGCUUGUUUCUGACGCUGAGGUGCGAAAGCGUGGGUAGCAAACAGG
RNAcentral lists this ribosomal RNA (252 nucleotides) under uncultured bacterium. RNAcentral's name for it is "partial 16S ribosomal RNA". It matches the Rfam family "Bacterial small subunit ribosomal RNA", at positions 525 to 776 of the family's 1533-position model. The record is from RNAcentral.